GACGAACGCUGGCGGCGUGCUUAACACAUGCAAGUCGAACGGAAAGGCCUGCUUUCCCUUGUGGAUUGCGGGUACUCGAGUGGCGAACGGGUGAGUAACACGUGAGUGAUCUGCCCCCAACUUGGGUAUAAGCCUGGGAAACUGGGUCUAAUUCCCGAUAGGACUGCAGGGUGGUGCCUGUGGUGGAAAACGAUUUUCUAGUGGUUGGGGAUGAGCUCGCGGCCGAUCAGCUUGUUGGUGGGGUAAUGGCCUACCAAGGCGGCGACGGGUAGCCGGGCUGGGAGGGUGGACGGCCACAUUGGGACUGAGAUACGGCCCAGACUCCUACGGGAGGCAGCAGUGGGGAAUAUUGCACAAUGGGCGGAAGCCUGAUGCAGCGACGCCGCGUGGGGGAUGACGGCCUUCGGGUUGUAAACUCCUUUCGACCGCGAGGAAGCCACCUGGUUGGAAGGGUGGUGACGGUAGUGGUAGAAGAAGCACCGGCUAACUACGUG
This 494-nucleotide ribosomal RNA is filed under the name uncultured bacterium. RNAcentral's name for it is "partial 16S ribosomal RNA". It matches the Rfam family "Bacterial small subunit ribosomal RNA", at positions 28 to 507 of the family's 1533-position model. The record is from RNAcentral.